UGAACAUAUAGGCCUAGACCAAGGAGAAGUGUACCACCUCCUGAGCUGAUUGGGCCUCUGCCGGAGCCCAGUGACAAGAAACCUCAGCAAGAGGAACCACCAACUGAAAGUCGGGAUCCUACUCCUGGUCAGGAGAGAGAAGAUCAGGGGUGCAACUGAUAUUCAAGUUGAUAGCCUUUGUAUUUUUAAGUGCCUGACCUGAAAGCUGAUCUCCAGGAGCUGUCUCAGUCAAAGACUGGGGAUGAAUGCAGACAUGGUCCUGAUGACCAGGAGAAGAUUCUG
RNAcentral lists this long non-coding RNA (282 nucleotides) under Macaca mulatta (Rhesus monkey). RNAcentral's name for it is "lncRNA (ENSMMUG00000055662.1)". Lineage: Eukaryota; Metazoa; Chordata; Mammalia; Primates; Cercopithecidae. The record is from RNAcentral.